CAGCGCAGUGGCAGCUGCAAGCCACUGGCGGUAGCCAU
Regulatory RNA element from Tolumonas auensis DSM 9187, 38 nucleotides. It matches the Rfam family "JUMPstart RNA". NCBI's taxonomy places the organism in Bacteria, Pseudomonadati, Pseudomonadota, Gammaproteobacteria, Aeromonadales, Aeromonadaceae. The record is from Rfam.